UACGGAGGGGGCAAGCGUUGUUCGGAAUUACUGGGCGUAAAGCGUGCGCAGGCGGUUUGUUGUGUCUGAUGUGAAAGCCCCGGGCUUAACCUGGGAAUGGCAUUGGAAACUGGCAAGCUGGAGUGUGGCAGAGGGGGGUGGAAUUCCGCGUGUAGCAGUGAAAUGCGUAGAGAUGCGGAGGAACACCGAUGGCGAAGGCAGCCCCCUGGGCCAACACUGACGCUCAGGCACGAAAGCGUGGGGAGCAAACAGG
This 253-nucleotide ribosomal RNA is filed under the name uncultured bacterium. Its description in RNAcentral is "partial 16S ribosomal RNA". It matches the Rfam family "Bacterial small subunit ribosomal RNA", at positions 524 to 776 of the family's 1533-position model. The record is from RNAcentral.